This 61-nucleotide transfer RNA is filed under the name human gut metagenome. It matches the Rfam family "tRNA", at positions 6 to 65 of the family's 71-position model. Rfam says of the family: Transfer RNA (tRNA) molecules are approximately 80 nucleotides in length. RNAcentral also lists the same sequence under 2 other names. The record is from RNAcentral.
GAUAGCUCAGCGGUAGAGCAUUCGGCUGUUAACCGAAGGGUCGUAGGUUCGAACCCUACUC